CUCCGCUUGGUGUAGUUGGUUUAUCACGUUCGACUGUAAUAUCUGUUGUAAUCGAAAGGUCCCUAGUUCGAUUCUGGGAGCGGAGA
Molecule: non-coding RNA, 86 nt
Organism: Paraphaeosphaeria sporulosa
Lineage: Eukaryota; Fungi; Ascomycota; Dothideomycetes; Pleosporales; Didymosphaeriaceae
Source: Rfam